This 127-nucleotide small RNA is filed under the name Marmota monax (woodchuck). Lineage: Eukaryota; Metazoa; Chordata; Mammalia; Rodentia; Sciuridae. The record is from RNAcentral.
GCUGGGUGUGGUGGAGCACACCUGUAAUCCCAGCAGCUCAGGAGGCUGAGACACAAGGAUCAUGAGUUCAAAAGCAGCCUCAGCAACUUAGCAAGGCACUAAGCCACUCAGUGAGACCAUGUCUCUA